RNAcentral lists this ribosomal RNA (1318 nucleotides) under Triticum aestivum (bread wheat). Its description in RNAcentral is "partial small subunit ribosomal RNA". Lineage: Eukaryota; Viridiplantae; Streptophyta; Magnoliopsida; Poales; Poaceae. The record is from RNAcentral.
CGUCAACCAAAUCCAAUCAACCAAAGAUGGGCCUCAGCCCCUCAAAGCGCGUGGACGCGGCGCUCCGGCGGGCGCCGGCGUUCGCCGCCGCCUGCGACGCCGCCUUCGACCGCUGCCUCGCCGACGCCCAGCACGCCUUCUCCGGCGUCCGCCCCUACCAGCUCGCGGACGCGUCCGAGCACCUCCACUCGGCCCUGCGGGGCUCCCUCCCUAUCGUCCGCCGCUGGGUGCCCUCGCCGCCGCCGCGCGUGCGCGUAGACUCUGCGCUGCGCGCCUCUGGCUUGGAAGGCGCUGCCGAGCUCUCGCGGGAUCAGUUCGGGGAGUUCGCGGCCGAGCUGUUCAGGGAGGCCGUGCUCGCCGGCGCGGCAGAGGCGGCGCUCGUCCGUGCCCCGGCCGGCGCGGCCGGGAUCCUCGGGGUGGCCAUCGUGUCCCGCGCCGGCGCCGGGGCGGCUGGGAAGUUGGUCGCUGUCUACACCGCCGGCGUCGCCGCUGCUGUUUACCUCAGCUUGGGCUAGGCCUUUGUUAAGUUGUAAAUCAGCACAAUAAACUGCUUGUACUACUCCGAUGUAAUCUGAAGAGAUGUUUCUUGCGUAGUAUGGUCAGUAUAAAUACAAGAGAGAUUAGCAACAACAGGAGUGCCUAGGCUUGAAGGGAGGUGAUCAAGGUUUCAAGUAGGGUUUGGUUUUCAGGCCGCCAGGAUCGCAACUUCUUUGAACAUGGCCUCAUGCCAGCUUCUAGUCGCCAUGGCCAUCACUCCUGCAUACCUCUGGAGGUGUCCCAAUGAAUAUUCAAGAUCCCCCAGCAUGAAGCACUGAGCUCACAUUCGGAGAAUAAGUGAGUGUUAGUUUCAACAGGUUAGUUGGAGCAUAGCAAGCAUGAGUGAUCAUCACCAAUGUUGAAGUGCCUCCUGCAGAGAAGAUCCCUUGUUUUAACUCCAUCCAUGAACAUCAACCAGGCAAAAACCUUGUGCUUCAUCGUACACUUGGAUUUCGAGAUGGCAGGGACGUGUGUUGGAGGGUUUGGAUUUCUGAAGAAAAAUUUGUUGGAUUUGUUUGGCAUCCCGCCAACAGAUAAUCCGUUCAUCAGCCCUUAGAGGAUAAAGCGAGAUAUUGCUUAGCUUUUCGGUCAGCACCUCCAGUUCUUCUCUAGCUUGAAUAUAAACAGUGGCAAUUGAAAAUUCUGAUCAGGUUCAGGGUUAACCAUGAACUGGGCAAAGAAAUGUCUUCUUCUCUAGCAAACGAAAAGAGACAGCGACAUGAGUCUUGCAUUAGUCCCUUGGUGUCCCACAGAUCUUUACAGAGAAGGAUGGUGUCCCCGG